AACGAACGCUGGCGGCAUGCCUAACACAUGCAAGUCGAACGAGACCUUCGGGUCUAGUGGCGCACGGGUGCGUAACGCGUGGGAACCUGCCCUUAGGUUCGGAAUAACUCCCCGAAAGGGGUGCUAAUACCGGAUAAUGUCUUCGGACCAAAGAUUUAUCGCCUUUGGAUGGGCCCGCGUUGGAUUAGCUAGUUGGUAGGGUAAAAGCCUACCAAGGCGACGAUCCAUAGCUGGUCUGAGAGGAUGAUCAGCCACACUGGGACUGAGACACGGCCCAGACUCCUACGGGAGGCAGCAGUGGGGAAUAUUGGACGAUGGGCGAAAGCCUGAUCCAGCCAUGCCGCGUGAGUGAUGAAGGCCUUAGGGUUGUAAAGCUCUUUUACACGGGAUGAUAAUGACAGUACCGGGAGAAUAAGCUCCGGCUAACUCCGUG
RNAcentral lists this ribosomal RNA (433 nucleotides) under uncultured bacterium. RNAcentral's name for it is "partial 16S ribosomal RNA". It matches the Rfam family "Bacterial small subunit ribosomal RNA", at positions 29 to 507 of the family's 1533-position model. The record is from RNAcentral.